GACGAACGCUGGCGGCGCGCCUAACACAUUGCAAGUUCGAACGAGCGAGAGAGAGCUUGCUUUCUCGAGCGAGUUGGCGAACGGGUGAGUAACGCGUGAGGAACCUGCCUCAAAGAGGGGGACAACAGUUGGAAACGACUGCUAAUACCGCAUAAGCCCACGGGUCGGCAUCGACCAGAGGGAAAAGGAGCAAUCCGCUUUGAGAUGGCCUCGCGUCCGAUUAGCUAGUUGGUGAGGUAAUGGCCCACCAAGGCGACGAUCGGUAGCCGGACUGAGAGGUUGAACGGCCACAUUGGGACUGAGACACGGCCCAGACUCCUACGGGAGGCAGCAGUGGGGAAUAUUGCACAAUGGGGGAAACCCUGAUGCAGCGACGCCGCGUGGAGGAAGAAGGUCUUCGGAUUGUAAACUCCUGUUGUUGGGGAAGAUAAUGACGGUACCCAACAAGGAAGUGACGGCUAACUACGUGCCAGCAGCCGCGGUAAAACGUAGGUCACAAGCGUUGUCCGGAAUUACUGGGUGUAAAGGGAGCGCAGGCGGGAAGACAAGUUGGAAGUGAAAUCUAUGGGCUCAACCCAUAAACUGCUUUCAAAACUGUUUUUCUUGAGUAGUGCAGAGGUAGGCGGAAUUCCCGGUGUAGCGGUGGAAUGCGUAGAUAUCGGGAGGAACACCAGUGGCGAAGGCGGCCUACUGGGCACCAACUGACGCUGAGGCUCGAAAGUGUGGGUAGCAAACAGGAUUAGAUACCCUGGUAGUCCACACCGUAAACGAUGAUUACUAGGUGUUGGAGGAUUGACCCCUUCAGUGCCGCAGUUAACACAAUAAGUAAUCCACCUGGGGAGUACGACCGCAAGGUUGAAACUCAAAGGAAUUGACGGGGGCCCGCACAAGCAGUGGAGUAUGUGGUUUAAUUCGACGCAACGCGAAGAACCUUACCAAGUCUUGACAUCCCUUGACAGACAUAGAAAUAUGUAUUCUCUUCGGAGCAAGGAGACAGGUGGUGCAUGGUUGUCGUCAGCUCGUGUCGUGAGAUGUUGGGUUAAGUCCCGCAACGAGCGCAACCCUUAUGGUCAGUUACUACGCAAGAGGACUCUGGCCAGACUGCCGUUGACAAAACGGAGGAAGGUGGGGAUGACGUCAAAUCAUCAUGCCCUUUAUGACUUGGGCUACACACGUACUACAAUGGCGUUAAACAAAGAGAAGCAAGACCGCGAGGUGGAGCAAAACUCAGAAACAAUGUCCCAGUUCGGACUGCAGGCUGCAACUCGCCUGCACGAAGUCGGAAUUGCUAGUAAUCGUGGAUCAGCAUGCCACGGUGAAUACGUUCCCGGGCCU
This 1335-nucleotide ribosomal RNA is filed under the name uncultured bacterium. RNAcentral describes it as "bacterial SSU rRNA". It matches the Rfam family "Bacterial small subunit ribosomal RNA", at positions 28 to 1381 of the family's 1533-position model. The record is from RNAcentral.